GCAAUAUGCUACCACAAGGCGAAUGAGAAGCGACCCAAAUGUGGCAAUGGCAAUGUAUUUUAGAAUUUUCAUAGACACACCCCCACAAGUCCACAACACACCUAACCAUUUGCGACUCAAUGUUCUUUCAUUCUUCAUUCACUGGGCUUGUUGAUUCUUGCGUUUCUGAGUUCUCUGCGGUAUUGCUUUCUGUAAUUUCUUCUUCAAAUUGCACUCUCUACAUUAUGCACCUUGGGACCUGCAUUUUCUAUACCACAUAAGGUUGCUGAAGCUUCCGUUCAUCUGCUAUGCCCUUUAAGAGAAGAAUGUGGAGGUAGUUAAUUUGUUAUGCUGCAUAGAUGUCUUUCUUUUUUUCUUUUUCAUUGCAAAGGAGAUACUGAUGAGUUAAAAUCUAGAGGACUCAGAUUUCAAGAAUCUCUCUGCCUCCCACCCAACAUAAAGUAUGUAUUGCUGCUACAAGUGUUGAUUGUUGUAGUGUCUUCUUUCACAGGAAUAUGAUUUCUCACCUCCAGCCCAAGCAAAAGAGCAUAGAGCAGGGGAGUUCAGAGAAAUUAUUAUCCAGACCUCUCAAGUAGCUCACAGUGAAGUCUCUGGACAACUGACUUUGGAUGGGGCAGAUACCACAAGUCAAUGUAUCAAUAUUCAGUUUUUGGAAAUUCGUUCACUUUUAAAUUUGAGUAUCUCAAUGGUCAAGUGCAUCGAUUCAACUUUUCAACUGUGGAAGAUAAUGGCUUCACUGCCAAACCAAAGUUCAAUACUUACAGACCUUUAGUUUUGAAUUUUUGUUGUUAGUACUGGACUUCGCUGUAAAAAGUGUUUUUUAUAUUGAUUUUAGGGUAAAAUUGAAAAAUUAUAAAACGGGAAUAUUGAAAUUUCACUUCCGGAGCCAUUUAUCCGAUGUGAAAAGACUUCAGAAAAAUGACACAAAAAUUGAGAUAUGACAUUCGUUGGCAAUCGGUCCAAGGUCAAAUAUGAUGUAUCACUUCGGUUGGUUAUCCAAUAUAAUAUGUAUUUAGAUACCAUGAUGGUAGCAAUUAGCAAA
Molecule: long non-coding RNA, 1042 nt
Organism: Cicer arietinum (chickpea)
Lineage: Eukaryota; Viridiplantae; Streptophyta; Magnoliopsida; Fabales; Fabaceae
Source: RefSeq, a predicted model, not a curated record